This is a non-coding RNA of Haemonchus placei, 75 nucleotides long. Lineage: Eukaryota; Metazoa; Nematoda; Chromadorea; Rhabditida; Trichostrongylidae. The record is from Rfam.
GACACAAACUUGAAGUAUAGUAGUUUAGUAGGGUCAGCCGAUCCUACUAUUCCACUCUAUUUCGUACUUGAGUCC